Long non-coding RNA from Daphnia pulicaria, 597 nucleotides. RefSeq lists it as uncharacterized. The transcript is spliced from 4 exons. The record is from RefSeq and is a predicted model, not a curated record. NCBI's taxonomy places the organism in Eukaryota, Metazoa, Arthropoda, Branchiopoda, Diplostraca, Daphniidae.
UUGCCUUUUUUUCAUUUAGUGUUUUUUUUAAUAAGGAUGGAGUCGGUAUAAUUGGCUAAUUAAGGACUAAUUUGGAAAUGGUGUUUUGGGGCAAUGUUGUUCCUUUUUGACAUAGCACAGAAUUGACAAACUUCAUCCAGUUUUGACAUCUUCGAAGCAGAGGCCCUGAUGCUCACCCUAAAUAAUGGCAUUUCCAAAUCUCUAACAUUGUUUGAAACUAGGCUUAUUGCUUCACGAGAUUUGGAUAGAUGUGAUUUGUGGUGUUAAAUCUUUGCCUGAGCCUGAAGAUACUUCACCAUACUGCAUGCUGAUUGUAUUUGAUGCUGUGCAAGCCCUAAUGGUUGAAGGAAGGCAACCUCAUUGAUGUUUGGCAACUGCUUAAUCUGAAAGGGGCUCUUGUAUUUCUUCCAGUCAGUGAAUUUAUUGCAAGUUAGUAAGUUGAAUGUUCAUCUUGAAAUGGUUGAAGAGAUCGAGUGGAGUCUACUCUUCAACAAGGGGAUUCAACAUCAUCGAGUGACAGAUUAAAUUUUUUUAGUAGUUACUCUAGUUGAGCAAUAAUAAUUUAUGAUUUGUGCCAUGGCAAUUAUUCAUUAUAUG